CAGUAGCCGCGGUAAUACGAAGGGUGCAAGCGUUACCCGGAUUUACUGGGCGUAAAGGGCGUGUAGGCGGCCUGGGGCGUCCCAUGUGAAAGGCCACGGCUCAACCGUGGAGGAGCGUGGGAUACGCUCAGGCUAGAGGGUGGGAGAGGGUGGUGGAAUUCCCGGAGUAGCGGUGAAAUGCGCAGAUACCGGGAGGAACGCCGAUGGCGAAGGCAGCCACCUGGUCCACUUCUGACGCUGAGGCGCGAAAGCGUGGGGAGCAAACCGGAUUAGAGACCCCAGUAGUCCCUGUCUCUUAUAC
This 301-nucleotide ribosomal RNA is filed under the name uncultured bacterium. RNAcentral describes it as "partial 16S ribosomal RNA". It matches the Rfam family "Bacterial small subunit ribosomal RNA", at positions 509 to 807 of the family's 1533-position model. The record is from RNAcentral.